RNAcentral lists this ribosomal RNA (390 nucleotides) under uncultured soil bacterium. RNAcentral's name for it is "bacterial SSU rRNA". It matches the Rfam family "Bacterial small subunit ribosomal RNA", at positions 26 to 408 of the family's 1533-position model. The record is from RNAcentral.
AGAAUCAACGCUGGCGGCGUGCCUCAGACAUGCAAGUCGAACGAUUAAACUUUCCUUCGGGAAAGAUAUAAAGUGGCGCACGGGUGAGUAACACGUAAGUAAUCUACCUUUGAGUGGGGAAUAACCCGGGGAAACCCGAGCUAAUACCGCAUAAUGCAGCGGCACCGCAAGGUGACAGUUGUUAAAGGAGCAAUCCGCUUAAAAGAGGAGCUUGCGGCAGAUUAGCUAGUUGGUAAGGUAAUGGCUUACCAAGGCUACGAUCUGUAACCGGUCUAAGAGGACGGUCGGUCACACUGACACUGAAUAACGGGUCAGACUCCGUACGGGAGCAGCAGUCGGGUAAUUUGGGCAAGUGGACGAAAGCCUGACCCAGCAACGCCGCGUGAAGGA